ACCAGGUGCAGUUGUGCACACCUGUAGCCCCAGCUACAUAGGAGGCUGUGGCAGGAGGAUCGCUUGAGUACAGGAGCUCUGGGCUGUAGUGCACUAUGCUGAUCAGGUGUCUGCACCAAGUUUGGCAUCAAUACGGUGACCACGCCUGUGAAUAGCCACUAUACUCUAGUCUGGGCAACAUGGCUAGACUCUGUUUCAA
RNAcentral lists this signal recognition particle RNA (199 nucleotides) under Macaca fascicularis (crab-eating macaque). RNAcentral's name for it is "Metazoan signal recognition particle RNA (ENSMFAG00000019112.2)". It matches the Rfam family "Metazoan signal recognition particle RNA". Rfam says of the family: The signal recognition particle (SRP) is a universally conserved ribonucleoprotein. It is involved in the co-translational targeting of proteins to membranes. Lineage: Eukaryota; Metazoa; Chordata; Mammalia; Primates; Cercopithecidae. The record is from Rfam by way of RNAcentral.